UACGUAGGUGGCGAGCGUUGUCCGGAUUUACUGGGCGUAAAGGGAGCGUAGGCGGACUUUUAAGUGAGAUGUGAGAUACUCGGGCUCAACUUGAGUGCUGCAUUUCAAACUGGAAGUCUAGAGUGCAGGAGAGGAGAAUGGAAUUCCUAGUGUAGCGGUGAAAUGCGUAGAGAUUAGGAAGAACACCAGUGGCGAAGGCGAUUCUCUGGACUGUGACUGACGCUGAGGCUCGAAAGCGUGGGGAGCAAACAGG
This 253-nucleotide ribosomal RNA is filed under the name uncultured bacterium. RNAcentral describes it as "partial 16S ribosomal RNA". It matches the Rfam family "Bacterial small subunit ribosomal RNA", at positions 524 to 776 of the family's 1533-position model. The record is from RNAcentral.